AUUGAACGCUGGCGGCAUGCCUUACACAUGCAAGUCGAACGGUAACAGGUCUUCGGAUGCUGACGAGUGGCGAACGGGUGAGUAAUGUAUCGGAACGUGCCCAGUUGUGGGGGAUAACUACUCGAAAGAGUGGCUAAUACCGCAUACGACCUGAGGGUGAAAGCGGGGGAUCGCAAGACCUCGCGCAAUUGGAGCGGCCGAUAUCAGAUUAGGUAGUUGGUGGGGUAAAGGCUCACCAAGCCAACGAUCUAUAGCUGGUCUGAGAGGACGACCAGCAACGCUGGGACUGAGACACGGCCCAGACUCCUACGGGAGGCAGCAGUGGGGAAUUUUGGACAAUGGACGCAAGUCUGAUCCAGCCAUGCCGCGUGCGGGAAGAAGGCCUUCGGGUUGUAAACCGCCUUUGUCAGGGAAGAAAAGGGCGACUCUAAUACAGUUGCCUCAUGACGGUACCUGAAGAAUAAGCACCGGCUAACUACGUGCCAGCAGCCGCGGUAA
Molecule: ribosomal RNA, 498 nt
Filed under: uncultured bacterium
Lineage: Bacteria
Description: partial 16S ribosomal RNA
Rfam family: Bacterial small subunit ribosomal RNA
Source: RNAcentral